RNAcentral lists this long non-coding RNA (5319 nucleotides) under Ananas comosus (pineapple). Its description in RNAcentral is "long non-coding RNA (ACOM_LNC008767)". The record is from RNAcentral. Lineage: Eukaryota; Viridiplantae; Streptophyta; Magnoliopsida; Poales; Bromeliaceae.
GAACAUGAUCUAUACCACUUGAAAUAUUAGAGUCAAUUUUAUACAUUUUCGAUAUUGUUCUCUUAUCCAUCAAGUGACCAAAAUUGAACUGGUUGAUAAUAAAUUAUUUGGUAAAGAAAGUGAUGAUAGGAUUUUUAAUCAAAGAUGCAAGAGUAUAGAUCUGUUUUAAAUAGCUAAAGAAUUUUCUAACCAAAAAUUCAAUUGAUUUGGAUUUCUUUACAACCGUUAAACGAAAAACGCUUCAUAUCGGCAUCUAAAAUUACAAUUUUGAAAACCUUUGAGAUUAUUGAACAAAUAUGUGCAAGAUUUGAAAUUUGAUUUCGUAACACUUAAAGUGAUAUAGAUUAUGUUCAAUCGAUGUCGACUUAUCAUUUGAGGCUCACAUCAUUCGAAAACAAAAUGGUCGGUAAACGACAGGUCGUUUGCUAAAGAUAGAUUCUGCCUACUAUCGUUUGCCUAUAUAUCAUAUAUAUAUAUAUAAUAUAUAUAUAUAUUAUAUUAUAUAUAAUUAUAAUAUAUAUAUUAUAUAUAUAUAUUUAUAUAUAUAGGUUAUAUGUAUAUAUGUAUAUGUAUAUGUAUAUGUAUAUGUAUAUGUAUAUGUAUAUGUAUAUGUAUAUAUACAUAUACAUAUGUAUGUAUAUAUACAUAUACAUAUAUAUAUAUAUAUAUAGAAUUGAGCUCCUAUGCUUUUAAAAGUACCAAGUUAUUGGUGCUUGCAGAUUUUUAGCUAUUGGAUUAAAAGAUAUGCGGUUAAGAUGAUGUGGGCCCCCUAGGGUUUAGUGGGUGGUUGGUUGAAUAGUAUAAUCUAAUGGUUGAAAAUGAUCCGAGGAGUAGAUCUAACGGUAAAAAACUUACAAGCACCAAGUGCUUGGUACUUUUACGAGCACCAUAGCUGGACUCUCUCUCUCUCUCUCUCUCUCUCUCUCUCUCUCUCUCUCUAUAUAUAUAUAUAUAUAGUUGAGCUAGAAUACUAAUGAUAGUAAACGAGCCGUUUUACUACCAAUUUGUUUUCGAUGAUAGAGCUUCCAAAUUGACGAUCGGCUCCGUUAAAUAUGAUCUAAACCAUUUAAACUACCUAGAAAUCAAAUUUCACGCACUUCGAUAUUGUUCUUUUAUCCAUCAAGUGAACAGAAAAAUGAAUAGCUGAAAAUGAAUUCAAUUGAUUUUAUCCAUCAAGAGUAUAGAUCUUGUUUUAAAUAGUUUAAAGAAUAUUCUAACAAAAAUUCAAUUGAUUUGGAUAUCUUUACGCCGUUAAACGAGAAAACGCCUUUUAUCUACCAUUAAAAUUACAAAUUUUGAAACCCUUUGAUCAUUAGGCAAAUGAUGUCGAAAAGAUUUGAAAUUUGAUUUCUAAACACUUCAAGUUGUAUAGAUCAUGUUCAACGGAGCCGAUCAUCAAUUUGGAAGCUCUAUCAUCGAAAAUAAAUAGGUAGUAAAAUGGCUCGUUUACUACUGAUAGUAUUCUAGCAAAACUCUACAUAUAUAUAUAUAUAUAUAUAUAUAUAUAUAUAUAUAUAGAGCUAGGCUCCUAUACUUUCGAAAGUACGGAGGCCUCCGUGCUUGUAAGUUGUUUUCAAUGAUGGGACGUCCGAUUCGGCGAUUGGUUCUGUUAAACAUGAUCUACGCUAUUGUAACUAUCUAGAAACCAAAUUUCAUAAUUUUUUGACUUCGUUUGCCUAUUGAACGAGUAGCCUCAAAUUGAACGACUGAAAAUAAAAAUCUCAUAAAAAAUAGUGAUAAAUGACUCAAAUUUCAAAUCAGAAGUAUUGCUCUUGCUCUUGAUGUUAAGUAGAAUUUUCGAUUAAUGUUUCAUGUAAUUUGGAUACUUCUACACCGUUGAACUUAAAAAUGUGUCACAUCGGCCGUUAAAAUAGUCAUUUUGAGACCCUGUGAUCGCUUGGUAGAUGAUGUCGAAAAAUUAUAAAAUUUGGUUUCUAGAUAGUUCCAAUAGCAUAGAUUAUGCCUAACGGAGCCGAUGGUCGAAUUGGAUGUCCUAUCAUAGUAAACAACUUACAAGUACAGAGGCCUCCGUACUUUCGAAAGCACGGGAGACGUACUCUAUGUAUGUAUAUAUAUAGGGUAAAUUACAUACUCGGAGUCCUCACAUUUUCAUCAAAUUUCACUUGUGAGUGCCCACCGUUUUUUUUUGCAAUGAGUCCCUAAUCAUUUUGAUUUCAUUACAAUUAGGUCCCAACCGUUAAAAAACUGUUAGCAAUUAAUCGGAUCGCUACUCAUCAGGCCUUUGCAUACUCUUUUGGCAUGUCAAUUAGGUCCUAAACAAUUUGCACAUUUUUCAUUAGUCCGUAAUAAAACAAUUUCAAAUUUUAAAUUAAAUCAAAAUAUAUUAAAAUUAAAAUUUUAACCUAACGAGAAAUUAGAAUUUUGAAUUUGAUUAAAACUAAUAAAAUUUGAAUGGAAAUUAAAAUUAAAUUAAAAUUUUAAUUGAUCUAAAUUUUGAAUUCAAAAUUAAAAUUGAUUUUGAUUUUGAUAUUCAAUUUACAUUUAAAAUAAGAAUUUGAAACCGUAAAGUAAAUUUAAAAUAAUGAAUUAAAUUAAAAUCAUAUUCAAUUAAUUUGAUUUUAAAUUUAAUUUGAAUUAAAAUUUAAUUUGAAUUUAAACUGAUCAAAUUCACAUUUAGAAUUUGAAAUCAAAUCGACGUUUUGAAAUUUAAAUUAGAAUUGUAUAAUCCAAAUGUAAUUGAAUUAAAUUUAAAAUUUAAAAAUUAAAAUACAAAAUAGAAUUUGAAUUUCAAUUUAAAAUUUGAUUCAAAAUUAAAAAAAAUUAAAAUUUAAUCUUAAAUUAAUUUUUUUUAAAUUUAAAAUUUAAAUUGGUUAAUUACACCAAUUGGUCCUCAACCUGUCACCAUUUUCAAUAAUUCCCAAACUUUUUUUUUGCAAUUCCGUUGACAGCAGCGCCAACCGUGUGACUUGACAUGGGCGCGCAUCAGUGGCCUGACGGGGUUGACGGUAGCAUUUUUCGUCAAUUUUAACAGGCUAUCGAACUGGCUUGGACUUAAUUGAAAUAAAACAAAAAGAUAGGGAGCUUGAUUGCAAGAAAAAAAAAGGUUGGGGCCUAAAUUAAAAAUAUGGUUAGGACACAUUGGGUAUUACCCUAUAAUGAUAUUAUAUAUACUAUAUAUAAUAAUAUAUAAUGAUAUUCUAUAUGCUUAUAUAGAGUGAGGCUACUAUUGCUAUCGUAAGCACGGAGCCUCCGUGGCUUCAGCUCAUUCGAUUUUGCGGACUUUCGAAUCAUCGUCGGCAUUCGUUUAAAUGAUCUAGAUAUUUGAUAUGUUACCUAGACAAUAAAUUUUAGAUUACGAUAUCAUUUCUAGUGAACGAAGGGGCUUAAAAUCAAUGGGUGAAAAUAAAAAUCUACACUAAAUGUGAUAAUAUGGACUUAAAAAAUAUUAAAUCAAGAUAUUGAUCUUGUUUAUUAGUAUACAAAAUUUCUUAAUCAAAAUUUCACGGAUUGAUAUUUUACAACCGUUAAACUUCCAAACGUUCAUACGACAUUAAAAUUUGUUGAUUAUGAGCCCAUCAACUCACUAGCAAAUGAUAUCGAAAAAUAAUAAAUUUAAUUUUCUACGUACUUGGGAAAUACUGCUAGAUCAAGUUUAACAGGGUCAUCGCUUGUCACACCCCACCCCUCCUCCCCCUUCCGAAUCGCAACUCAAACAAGCUAGGAGGCUACUACCCGUCACCAUACAAUAGACCUCACUCGAAUAUAUAACACUAUAUAAAUAUAAAUAUAUAUAUAUAUAUAAUUGUAUAUUAUAUAUUUUAUACUGAUAUAAUUUAUAUUAUAAUAAUAUAUGGUGUUGCUGUUGUUGUGUGUAACGCUUGGUCAGUGUGUGUGUGUGAUUGUGUGUGUGUACAGGCAAAGGUACUAUCCAGCCUGAAUUAAAAAUAAAAGAACAAUAGUCCAACACAGUACGUAACCAAGAUGUAAUAACCAUGUCUCAUAAUGAAAUAUAAAAAAAAGAAAGCAAUGAACUACGCGCUUACACGCUCGCGCUCGCCGCCGUUGCCUGCUCGCUCUUUGCCCCUCGCCACCCAUUCCCUCCCUUUCCCCCUCUUGCCUGUGCUCCUCCGUGUCUCCCUCGCCCUUUUUGCUCACACUCGGUCUCUGCGCCGUUUGCUCUUUCCCCGUCGCCCCUCCCCCCUUGCUUUCCAUUUUUGCUCCCACCUUUUUCUCUCUCCUCUGUUUGCUCCUAUGCUUCUGCUGCGCCAGCCUCUCUCUCUUGUUCCCGCCGUUUUUUUCUGCCGUGUCCUCCUUUUGCCGCUCUUCCGCUGCCUUUGCUCCUCCCUAUCUUACCUCUUCUACCCCUGUGGUCUCCCCUUCUCCUUGUGUCGGUCCUUCCCGUGCGCUUCUCCCUAUUGCCGUUCCGCUCGUUUCCCAGCCCCUUGCUCGGCCCCUGCUCCCUCCUCUUUCAUCGCUGUCCCGGCCUCUCUCUCUCUCUCUCUAUCGAGACAUGCAGCCUGCGCGCGCGCGCGCGCGCGCGUAGCCGCCGCGCCCGCGCGCCUCCCUGGCCUCCUCUUCCUCGCCCCUGUUGGAUGCUCUUCCUUUUCUGACCUUGGCGUUUCCCUCUGUGCGGUCGGCCUGUGGGCCCUCGGGUUGCGUGGGUGUUGGUUGCAUAGUCUCACUCCCCGCCUUGCCCUUGCUCCCCCCGGUCUCCCGGCCGCACCUGCUAGUCCCUCUUCGUGCUCUGACGCCCCCCGCAGGCCUAUGCUCUCUCUCUCUCUCUCUCUCCUCUCCCUUCGUUCCUCCCUCCUCCUCUCACUCUCUCUCUCUCUCUCAUAUCUCUGAGUUUUGCUAGAAUACUAUCAGUAGUAAACGAGCCGUUUUACUACCUGUUUAUUUUCGAUGAUAGAGCUUCCAAAUUGACGAUCGGCUCCGUUGAACAUGAUCUAUACCACUUGAAGUGUUUAGAAAUUAAAUUUCAAAUCUUUUCGACAUCAUUUGCCUAAUGAUCAAAGGGUUUCAAAAUUUAUAAUUUUAAUAGUCGAUAAGAGGCAUUUUCUCGUUUAACGGCGUAAAGAUAUUCAAAUCAAUUAAAUUUUUGUUAGAAAAUUCUUUAAACUAUUUAAAACAAAAUCUAUACUCUUGAUCUUGAUUACAAGACUCCUAUCAUCAUUUUUUAAAGAAUAUUCAUUUUCAGCCAUUCAUUUUUCUGUUAACUUGAUGGAUAAAAGAACAAUAUCGAAAGUGCGUGAAAUUUGAUUUCUAGGUAGUUUAAAUGGUUUAGAUCAUAUUUAACGGAGCCGAUCGUUAAUUUGAAAGCUCUAUCAUCGAAAACAAAUCGGUAGUAAAACGGCUCGU